UUACCAUGUGGGCCUUGGGGAAUCCAUGCAGAGCUACUGGGCAUCAGAUCCACCCUCCUCGAGCCGCUCCUCUCUUUGCAUAUUUAUGCGAUGCGGCUCAUUAUUGAAUCUAUUUGCUCUACUUAUGUGAUCAAAAGCUGGUUAGCUCCCGGGGGAACUCGCUGCCUACCUCCCCAUCCGUCUGUCUGUCUGUCUGCACAGCUGUCUGUCUGCCAUCUUCCCCGACACACCAAAUCCGCUAACAUUCAUGCAGACCUUUGUGUUGGCUUCAGUUCUUCUCCACAACACAAAUCAAUCCCUCAAAGGACUCAGAGUCUUGAAAUCAGUUCCAGGUUGCUAAUGUGUGCUGUCAGUAUCGCUCAGCAGCAGACGGAGAUAAAACUGUUUAUGGAGGAGAAAGGAGAUCGGAGGGCCUCGCUUCUCUCUUCGUGGUCCGUCUAUAUCUCAGAUCCUGAGACCGUUGUGUAUUUUGAAGAUCAGAUUUGAGAGCAUGUUUACUUCAAGUCCUCGAGGUGAGCCCCAUCUGUCAGGCCUCGCCAUGAAGUCUGAUGCGCACUUAAUUUCCUGGUUUCUUGCUUUAGAUGUUAAUAUAAAACUGGAUGUGACUCUUUGCUUUCUAAUGUUCAGCUUCAAAUAUUCGUUUUUUUAGAGCUGCUGCAGGCAAAUGUAAAGUCAGUUUUCAUUUGUUUGUCUCUCCAGCAUUAAGGGUCCAAACAACAGCAGAGAUUGUUCCACUUUUAUCCGGCCUCCUCUCCCACUGCAGUCAUUCUGUUUUAUUUUGGGUCUUUUGUGUACUGAGGGCUAUUUUUUCCUGUUUUUGUGUGUCACUGAUCAGUGAUCUGGAAAUAAGAAGAGACAUGUUAUUUUGGUUUGCAGUUGAUUGCACACACAGUGCCUCCUCACUAAAUCAAAUUCACAUGCACCCCCCUCCCCUUUUUUUUUCUUUCUGCAAAUAUCCCAUUCGACUCUGAAUUCUACGAAAGGCAGCUCCUCUUCCUUCACAAGAAGAGGGCGUGUCUUGUGUUUGACAGAAUUGGAUCUCCUGGCUUUUUUCAGCAUCUGUUGCUGCUGAAACACCUGAACCUAAACUCCUCUUCAGCUGUUUAAAAAGUAACAUGAAGAGUUUGUUUGACAGGAAUUAACUGGAAACAUGUUGAAGGUUCGGCAAAUCUGCUCAGUGAAGAGGAAAAACUGUUUCCGUGAGGAGUACUUCUUACAAGCCAUGAAACAAAGUGGAGGGUUGGGACUCAAGUCCUCAUUUUUAGGUCUAUAUCAUUUAUUUUUAAAUCAAUUUAUUUUUUAAUGUCUUAAUAGCAAGGGCUGGCGCGCCUACAGUUUCGUGCAUAUGCCCGCCUGUUCAGCUGCGGUUCCUGCCAGGAUGUCUAAAGAGGUGUCACGAAUCAUUCCUAUUUUUUGCUCUCCAAGACUUUACAGCGAAUGCAGCACGAACAGUGCGUAAUCUAGCAACCACCGAGGAGCAGACAGGGACAAAAUAAAACUUUAACAGGCUCUGUCCAGCAUGCGUGUGAAAAGUGGAAGAUCUUUACAGACACAAACUCCCUGAAAAAUUCCCAAAAUUACUCAGAGCCCAGCCCAAAAUCAACCACAGAGGAGCUCAUUGGGAGCCUGCUACACCAAAGGAUCUGGAUCACUACAAAAUGUCUGAAUUACCAUCAUGACAAUCAUCAGUCUUGGUUGUUUACUUGAAAAAAAGGAGAGGAUCCAGAUCCUGCUGGUACACGGCAAGAUGGAUCAUAGACAACUUGAGCAAGAGUUGCCGUAUAGUUAUAGUAGUUUCAACUUUGUAUGUAGAUAUACUGAUGCUUUGUUCAUGUUUUAUACUGUAUCUGGUUUAAAAUGUCAUCUUUAGUAAGCGAUGAUUGUAAACCAUGUUUUAUAUGCUGUGUAGUGGACAUAAAGGGUUUAGAUAACAGCUUUUAUUUGACUUGGAUAGAGAGGUCUGACCAUGUUUGCUUCUAUUAAUGUCAAACAGAUUCAAUGUUGUUGAAUUUAUCACAUUUUUCCCGACAAACCACUCUGUCUGCAUCUGCCAAAUUUUCCAAAUGAACCUUUUUUGCAAUAAUUGAGGAUAGCACAGCAGUGUUUACAGAUAUCAUACAUACUGGGAGUUCAGAGGGAAACCUUUGAGUUUGCGUUAAAUCGCUUUCAUAGCCGGUGAGAAAUGGUCAUAAGUUUAUUGACCUUAUCUGACAUGUCUGCUUUUCAUUUACCUGACCUCAUUAAUACUCAUAUCACUGAACAACAGCGUCACUGUGUCAUGCACUUUGCUGUAAACCACCCACAGGUGAAAUUCAUUUCUUAUAACAAAUCUGCAGAGCAUUCAGCUCCGGCCACCUUUUAAAAAGGAGAAGGUAGGGUCUUUAUUCCUGGUACUGGUCAACCGAGGCUCCAACCAACCAGUUUUGACUCCUUACUUUAGAGAAGAGCUGUAAUUGCCAAAGCAUCAGCUUCAGGUUUCCACACUGCAAAUGUUAUGCCUUUAUAAUAAAUGAUAUAAUGAGUAAUGGCGCCUCCUUCUUCUCACAGAUUUCAGCUCCUUCAAAACACAUCCAGUGACCCGCUUUGUUGCGCCCCUUCCCCCCUUCUCUCGCCUUUCCCUGCCUUCGUGAACGUGGCUCCGUGCUGCUGGAUAUUUAAAGACAUCAAAUGCAUGCAGGCCCCGGACAAUUAGUGGGGACUGUUGCUGGGUAAUUAGUUAAGAGGAAGAAAGCCUCCAAUUUCUCCUGCACCCCCUGGGGAGCCCCUCUGCUCACACACAGACAUCCAUGCACAAAACCUCACUCGAAGCACAAACACACUCACAUGGACACACAAAGACGUGGAGAGGUCCUGAGAAACACAAAUAAGAGGAAAAAGCUCUGAAAAUAAAAUGAUCACUGUGUGGUUGUUGUUUGAGAGCAAGAAGCUAGUUUAGGGAAGAAUUAAAGGAGGAAAACCAGUUAUAAAGAGAAAAGUAACGGAGGUACCAAGAACUAGCUGAACAUAAAGGGGUAAAGACACUUUCCUCCAAGUGUUUUCAGCAUCACAACCCACAUUUACACUUUCUCUGACUGAUUCAUUUUCAAUUUAAAUAAAAGAUAUUUUGACGGGAAGAAAGAAUAAUUAGAAUUGAUAUUGUGGCGAAAAAUGUGUUUCGAAUUUUUACUUCUUCAUUACAAAAAGUGCAAAAAGUCACAUUCAUGUAUCCUAAACUCCAAGUCGACUACAUGAAGCUCGAUUUAACCAAAAGACUCUGAGUCUUAAAGGGAUAUUCCAGUGAAAAAUUAAUUUAGAGUCAAACACACCAUAACACCGAGUUAGACACCCCCUCAAGAGAUGACUGUUGCUGACCGCUUGCUUCUCUAGUUAUACCGACUUUAGUAACGACCGCACGAUAGCAAUACACAGAGGUCUGAGGAGCCAUAAACAAACCUCAACCAAAACGUCACUCUAUAGCCACAAAUAAUGCUCAGAACAGCGCCGAACUUCAUCAACAGGACAUAUAGGGUCACAGACAUAGUACUAGACACCAAACAUCUUUUUAGCUUUGACUCAUUUCUUUAGCAAAGAGACUAAACACAACUCACCUACUCUCUUCCAGUAGCCGCUCGUUUGUAGGAGACCUCGGGCCAGUCCAUUACAGUCUACAGCGGGGUGACGCAGCUCAAGGAAGAACAUUUAUGGCUGUCGUAGAAGCAACUUCUACACACACAUUUCCACCAGCAAGAAGAUAAGAUUGACUAAAAAAUUGUGCAAAUUAGGCGAUGACGUCAUCUAGCGACUUCUACAACAGCCACUAGCAACUUUCCUUACUGAGGAGUUGGCAACGCUGGUGGAAACGUGUCAGUCACACAACUCCACGUGAUACCUGUUUGUUACUGGCACGCUGUGACUGACACGUUUCCACCAGCGUUGCCAACUCCUCAGAAAGGAAAGUUGCUAGCGGCUGUCGUGGAAGUCGCUAGAUGACCUCAUCGCCUAAUUUGAACAAUUUUUUAGUCAAUCUUAUCUUCUUGCAGAUAAACAGUUUGUUUAAAGGACAAAAACAAUUUUCACUGUGACUGGUUGUCUAACCAGAGAAGAGCCAAAUAUUUUAUCUUGUCAUUAUUCGUCAGAGCGUUUAUGAAGAGAGAUUUCGCCAUCACUUUGCUCAUCAUUCCUCUUUAGUCAUGAAAAAUAAGUUCGUCAACAAAUCCUUGCUGUCAGCAUUUUCGUUGACUAAAUCAACACCGUGUUGGCAGUACAGAAGCGCACAUUAAACCAAUUAUCUGCACACGCAGAUUAAAGUGCAUAUCCAGAUGAGGACAAGGACGGUGAAGGUUGUCAUCAAAACACCCGAGUGAGCUGAUUCGUACAAGGGUGCAGAGAUGCUGAAGGACACAGCAGCUCGUCCUCUGGAUCCAAAUCAACUUUACUGACUUUUGGGUGACACCCUCUGCGAUCUAAUGUAGUUAAGCAUAGUGUGUUUGUGCGCAUGUGUGUGUUUGUGUUGGUAUAAUUGAAGUGUGUACAGCUAGUUUUUGUCCUAAGUAAUUCAUGAGCGCUCGCUGAGGUGAAGUGGCGGCUGAGUGACGGCGAGGAACACCUCAGAGCUUCUCCCUGCUGCAGUAUUCAUCACAACGCCCUUUCUCUCAAAUUCAUUAUUCAUGUUUCUUUACAGGCCGUCUUGUCCAAGUCGUCACCCGGGUGCCUCACGAUGGGGACUUUGUUCUUCUAGACACUCAAUCAUCACCUGCAGUCUCCCACUGUUCCCAUCUCCAAAUCUCUCUCUCGUCUCCUGUUCCUUCCUGCCCUGUAAUCUCUUCCCUCCCUG
This 4813-nucleotide long non-coding RNA is filed under the name Xyrichtys novacula (pearly razorfish). The record is from RNAcentral. Lineage: Eukaryota; Metazoa; Chordata; Actinopteri; Labriformes; Labridae.